CCUACGGGUGGCAGCAGUGGGGAAUAUUGCACAAUGGGGGCAACCCUGAUGCAGCAACGUAGCGUGAGUGAUGACGGCCCUACGGUUGUUAAGCUUCUUUUAUAGGGACGUUAAUUACGGCACCUGUGCCUUUUUCUAUGUCUAACAUCGUUCCAGCAGCUGUGGUAAUAUGCAGGCGGCGAGGGUUAUCCGGAUUUACUGGGCGUAAAGGGAGCGUAGGGGGGCUUUUAAGUGAGUUGUGAAAUACUUGGGCUCAACUUGAGAACUGCAUUUCAAACUGGAAGUCUUGAGUUCAGGCGAGGAGGAUGGAAUUCGUGGUGUAGCGGUGAAAUGCGUAGAGAUUAGGAAGAACACCGAUGGCGAAGGCAGUUCACUAAACUGUAACUGACACUGAGGCUCGAAAGCGUGGGGAGCAAACAGGAUUAGAUACCCCAGUAGUC
Molecule: ribosomal RNA, 440 nt
Filed under: uncultured bacterium
Lineage: Bacteria
Description: partial 16S ribosomal RNA
Rfam family: Bacterial small subunit ribosomal RNA
Source: RNAcentral